Molecule: ribosomal RNA, 504 nt
Filed under: uncultured bacterium
Lineage: Bacteria
Description: partial 16S ribosomal RNA
Rfam family: Bacterial small subunit ribosomal RNA
Source: RNAcentral
AUUGAACGCUGGCGGCAGGCCUAACACAUGCAAGUCGAGCGGUAGCACAGGGAGCUUGCUCCUGGGUGACGAGCGGCGGACGGGUGAGUAAUGUCUGGGAAACUGCCUGAUGGAGGGGGAUAACUACUGGAAACGGUAGCUAAUACCGCAUAACGUCGCAAGACCAAAGAGGGGGACCUUCGGGCCUCUUGACAUCAGGUGUGCCCAGAUGGGAUUAGCUAGUAGGUGGGGUAACGGCUCACCUAGGCGACGAACCCUAGCUGGUCUGAGAGGAUGACCAGCCACACUGGAACUGAGACACGGUCCAGACUCCUACGGGAGGCAGCAGUGGGGAAUAUUGCACAAUGGGCGCAAGCCUGAUGCGGCCAUGCCGCGUGUAUGAAGAAGGCCUUCGGGUUGUAAAGUACUUUCAGCGGGGAGGAGGGUGUUGAGGUUAAUAACCUCAGCAAUUGACGUUACCCGCAGAAGAAGCACCGGCUAACUCCGUGCCAGCCGCCGCCGUAA